AAGUAAGAUACUUUUACUGCUGUAAUCGAGCGAAGUUCAGUCAAUCAAAACUUUAUUACUUACAUCGUAUUUACCAACGAAUAGUUAAUCCCCUUCAUUACAAUAAACAUAAACUAGUAAUUAGAGACAUGCAGUAAUAAUACUUAACAAAAACGUUUUUUUUUAGUUCCAAAGAAUUCAUGUACUAUCUGAUCUAAUGAAUGUGCAUCUCAACGUGAAUUCUGCAAAUGAAGUCGAAACCUCGGUUUAAGCUGAUAGCUUAACUUCAGAAAUAGACUAUAUCUACUUUGAUUACACGAUGUUAUUACUUGAUGGCGGAUGUUAUUUGUGAGCACGUGCUUGUUUAGUGCGUUGCGUAGAUAUUGCUUUCGAAAAAUUUAAAUUUGAUUACCGGGUUUCAUCAAUAGUCGUGUCACUUCAACUAGACGCAAUAGUGCCUAUACACUCGUCUGCCAACAAAGACAUAAAAAAGCUAAGUACCAUUUUCCCACUUGUUUUUCAACCGAUUUUCUAUUUCCUUUUCUUUUGUUUAAUAGUUAUUGACAAACUUUAGUACUAUUUAUUUUUGUAAAAACAAUAUUUUAUAUUUCAAAACAGAAAAUUUUUAGCUAACAUUUUCUUAUUUGUCAACCGAUUUUAUAUUUCCUUUUUUUCUCUUUACUAGUAAUAUUUAUUUACAAAAUUUUGUGUUAUCAAUAAAAACAUGUGUAAAUUGUUAUUUUAGUUUUUCGAAAAAGAAAAUUGUUUAGUACCAUU
This is a long non-coding RNA of Bombyx mori (domestic silkworm), 756 nucleotides long. RefSeq lists it as uncharacterized. Lineage: Eukaryota; Metazoa; Arthropoda; Insecta; Lepidoptera; Bombycidae. The transcript has 2 exons. The record is from RefSeq and is a predicted model, not a curated record.